This 765-nucleotide long non-coding RNA is filed under the name Nicotiana tabacum (common tobacco). RNAcentral describes it as "long non-coding RNA (NTAB_LNC004699)". Lineage: Eukaryota; Viridiplantae; Streptophyta; Magnoliopsida; Solanales; Solanaceae. The record is from RNAcentral.
AAUUCAUCUCGUGUUGUUUUUCUUAGCCUUUAUUUGGCAAAAGUUCAGCUUGUUUACGAGUUUAGGUACACAUCUCACACCUGUACCUCUGUUUUGAUUUGCUAUGAAAUGUUGGUUAUUCUUUAAAGUUAUUUGCUGUGAUUAUGUAAACUGACUGUUUGUUCUGUUUUGAACAUGAAUGGAUGUUAGUUUUGAUAUGUUUAAGACUUACAACCUGUUAAGGACAGAUGGUCUCCAUAGCAAUUUCGUGACUAGAAUUGUAGCUGAUUUCACAUGUUUAGUUGGAUCUCAACCUAUAUAUCUCAUUGUCAAAUACAUGCUGCCUAUAUUUGAGUAUUAACUACUGAAAUCUGAACUUGCUUUUGUAUUCUGAUAAAUUAAAGUCUAAUACUGGAUUUGAAGGUCAAUAAUGGUGGAUCUGGCCACAGGUUGGUUUGAUUUGCCAUUUAAGGCUCGAGUGAAGUUUCAUCUCUGUCGGAUCUUUGUUGUUUGGGUUUGUUAUUCAUUAAGCAUCAGUUAGAGUUGUGAUCAUAGUGAAGGUUAACCAAAGCUGUAUUCUUUAAUGGAGGAUGGAUGUUGUAAUUUUAAGCAUAAGAUGAUGUAUUCCAUAAUUGACAGUGUAUUUGCUUAGGUGAGUGUUCGUGUAAAUUAUAAUUGUUUAAAUUGAUAGAAGUUCAAUUGUUCAAACCAUUUAUUUAUUUUGUUAAGCUAUAAUACUGCCAUUCAGUGGUUGAGUGAUUUUGUAAAUACAAGGCAUAUAUAGGG